This 365-nucleotide long non-coding RNA is filed under the name Capsicum annuum. RNAcentral's name for it is "long non-coding RNA (CANN_LNC002465)". The record is from RNAcentral. Lineage: Eukaryota; Viridiplantae; Streptophyta; Magnoliopsida; Solanales; Solanaceae.
CGGAUCGGUAUAUAGACGUCCGUAUCUUUCUUCGAGAGGCUAUAGGACUUCUUUAGGAAACUUCCCUCUUUUUAUUCUUUAUCGUACGAAGUUCUUUCAUACCUUGUGUUCUAAGUUGUGUUUCACUCUUUCUGCAUGAAUGGUGUGGCUUAUACUUCUAUCAGUUGAGAGAUGCUUUAAGAUAUUGGUGGAGAUUAUUUGUCGGUUGUAGGCUUAUUUAUGCUCUUGAGUUGUCAUAGGAUAAGUUUUCUGAUGCCUUUCUAGAGAGAUUCGUGCCUUACAGUUUGAGGGAUUGAAUGCAAUACGAGUUAGAUCAUUUGGAGAAAGGCUCCAUGACAGUUGUUGAGUAUGAGACAUAUUUCCCC